AUUGAACGCUGGCGGCAUGCUUUACACAUGCAAGUCGAACGGCAGCGCGGGCUUCGGCCUGGCGGCGAGUGGCGAACGGGUGAGUAAUGCAUCGGAACGUGCCCUGUCGUGGGGGAUAGCCCGGCUAAAGCCGGCUUAAUACCGCAUACGACCUGAUGGUGAAAGCGGGGGACCGAAAGGCCUCGCGCUAUUUGCGCGGCCUAUGUCGGAUUAGCUAGUUGGUGGGGUAAAGGCUUACCAAGGCGACGAUCCGUAGCUGGUCUGAGAGGACGACCAGCCACACUGGGACUGAGACACGGCCCAGACUCCUACGGGAGGCAGCAGUGGGGAAUUUUGGACAAUGGGGGCAACCCUGAUCCAGCCAUGCCGCGUGCGGGAAGAAGGCCUUCGGGUUGUAAACCGCUUUUGUUAGGGAAGAAAUCCUCUGGGCUAAUACCCCGGGGGGAUGACGGUACCGGAAGAAUAAGCACCGGCUAACUACGUG
This 484-nucleotide ribosomal RNA is filed under the name uncultured bacterium. RNAcentral's name for it is "partial 16S ribosomal RNA". It matches the Rfam family "Bacterial small subunit ribosomal RNA", at positions 28 to 507 of the family's 1533-position model. The record is from RNAcentral.